UACGAAGGGGGCUAGCGUUGUUCGGAUUUACUGGGCGUAAAGCGCAUGUAGGCGGGCCGUUAAGUUGGGGGUGAAAGCCCGGAGCUCAACUCCGGAAUUGCCUUCAAAACUGGCGGCCUGGAGCAAGAUAGAGGCGAGUGGAAUUCCGAGUGUAGAGGUGAAAUUCGUAGAUAUUCGGAGGAACACCAGUGGCGAAGGCGACUCGCUGGAUCUUUGCUGACGCUGAGACGCGAAAGCGUGGGGAGCAAACAGGAUUAGAAACC
This 263-nucleotide ribosomal RNA is filed under the name uncultured bacterium. RNAcentral describes it as "partial 16S ribosomal RNA". It matches the Rfam family "Bacterial small subunit ribosomal RNA", at positions 524 to 786 of the family's 1533-position model. The record is from RNAcentral.